Long non-coding RNA from Perca fluviatilis (European perch), 547 nucleotides. RefSeq lists it as uncharacterized. The transcript is spliced from 3 exons. The record is from RefSeq and is a predicted model, not a curated record. Lineage: Eukaryota; Metazoa; Chordata; Actinopteri; Perciformes; Percidae.
CUAUCAGCCCGGGAGUUUGGGGAACAGCCGACUGUUUUCCUGUAACAACAAAGCACUCGCUAUAUCUCGCUCAUCUCUUUUCUUUCUCUCUUUCUCCGGGAAAUAAAGCUGCCUUCAAGUUCAGUCGGAAAUGUCGAGAUCUAUAAACCAUCUGACAGAAAACAGUGAGUGUGAAAUAUAAAGUGUACUUGUGCUACAUUGGGAAGUCACACAAACAGGCUGUUUCAGUGACACUCCCACCGCUGCACAAACUCUGCCAAAAAUGUGCAGAUCACUUUCUUUGGUCUGAACUCAGCUUAAGGUCUAUUACAUGUCUAUAGUGUCUACAGAACACAAUAUGAGUCAUUAUUAUACCGGGUAUAAAAGGUUAUUACAUGUCUAUAGUGUCUACAGAACACAAUAUGUGUUGUUAUUAUACCAGGUAUAAAAGGUUAAUGAAUGUUUCACUUUUUGUCUGAAAAGUGUUUUUGUUCAUUAUUAGUCACUUUGGUUAUUUUUUAGGUUGUUUUGUGGGUAAGAUGGUUUAUAAGUCAAAGACAUCUGUAAA